AAGCGGCUUCAUCUCCUUGUUCAGCAGCGCCAGACGAUCGUCCACUCUCCGCUCCUCAUUAAAGCAUAUUCCUAAGAUUUCCUCUUGCACACCCAUGGUCUCUUUCGUGAUCUCUAUCUGGCUAUCAACAGCUUCGGUGACUUCGAAGUGACAUUCCUUAACAUUCUCCACAGCAAUCACAAAGGAGGCAUUAGCUUUUAACUCCUUUUCCAGGCGCAAGACACUAUCGAGAAAGCGUUUCUCUUCUUUGGUUAACCUCCAGCAGUAGUCGUUAAGCUCCUUGACGAAUUCAGAAAAUUCGCCAAAAUCCUCCAUCAGGUCUUCAGUAUUUAUGGUCAGCAUACGACGGAGCCGCUUGAUAACCGGAGAGGCGGGAGACUGACCGCAUUCAAAAGGAGG
RNAcentral lists this long non-coding RNA (399 nucleotides) under Trifolium pratense (red clover). RNAcentral's name for it is "long non-coding RNA (TPRA_LNC010565)". The record is from RNAcentral. Lineage: Eukaryota; Viridiplantae; Streptophyta; Magnoliopsida; Fabales; Fabaceae.